UUAAUGAUGAACAGUAGUGUGGAAGCAUAAACCAAAUAAACUCUUUCCUUUCCCAAAAAAAAAAAAAAAAAAAAAAAAAAACUGCAAAGCUUCUGUAAGGCAAAGUAUACUAUCAAUAAGACAAAAAGGCCACCAACAGAGUGGGAAAGAUCUUUACAAAUCCUACAUUCGAUAGGGGGCUAAUGUUCAAUAUAUAUAAAGAACUCAAGAAGUUGGACUCCAGAAAACCAAAUAACCCUAUUUUUAAAAAAAUGGGGUACUGAGCUAAUCGAAAAAUUCUCAACUGAGGAAUACCAAAUGGCUGAGAAGCACCUGAAAAAAAAAAUGUUCAACAUCCUUAAUCAUCAGGGAAAUGCAAAUCAAAACAACCCUGUGAUUCCACCUCACACCAGCCAGAAUGGCUAAGAUGAAAAUUUCAGGUGACAGCAGAUGCUGGCCAGGAUGCGAUGAAAGAGGAACACUCCUCCAUUUCUGGUGGGAUUGCAAGCUGGUACAACCACUCUGGAAAUCAGUCUGGCAAUUCCUCAGAAAAUUGGACAUAGUACUACUGGGAGAUCCAGCAAUACCUCUCCUGGGCAUAUAUCCAGAAAAUGUUCCAACUUGUAAUAAGGACACAUGCUCCAAUGUGUUCAUAGCAGCCUUAUUUAUAAUAGGGAGAAGCUGGAAAAAAACCAGAUGUCCCUCAACAGAGGAAUGGAUACAGAAAUACACAAUGGAGUACUACUCAGCUAUUAAAAACAGCAAAUUUAUGAAAUUCUUAGGAAAAUGGAUGUAUCUGGAGGAUAUCAUCCUGAGUGAGGUAACCCAAUCACAAAGAACUCACAUGAUAUGCACUCACUGAUAAGUGGAUAGUAACCCAGAAUCUUAGAAUACCCAAGAUACAGUUUGCAAAACACAUUAAACUCAAGAAGAAGGAAGACCAAAUUGUGAAUACUUCAUUCCUCCUUGGAAUGGGGAACAAAAUACCCAUGGAGGGAGUUACAGAGAGAAAGUUUGGAGCUGAGAUGGAAGGACCAUCUGGAGACUGCCUCACUAUUGCAUAUGCCAGCUGACAGGACCCUAUAAUAGCUGUCUCCUAGGAGGCUAUGCCAGUGCCUGGCAAAUACAGAAGUGGAUGCUCACAGUCAUGUAUUUGAUGGAUCACAGGGCCCCAAAGGAAGAGCUAGAGAAAGUACUCAUGGAGCUGAAGGGGUCUGCAAUCCUAUAGGAGGAACAACAAUAUGAACUAAUCAGUACCCCCAGAGCUCAUGUCUCUAGCUGCAUAUAUAGCAGAAGAUGGCCUAGUCGGCCAUCACUGGGAGGAGAGGCCCUUGGUCUUGAGAAGAUCAUAUGCCUCAGUACAGGGGAAUGCCAGGGUCAGGAAGCAGAAGUGGGUGGGUUGGGGAGCAGGGCGGCCAGGAGAGGUUAUAGGGGACUUUCGGGAUAGCCUUUGAGAUGUAAAUGAAAAGGUAUCU
This 1454-nucleotide long non-coding RNA is filed under the name Mus musculus (house mouse). Its description in RNAcentral is "long non-coding RNA chr13:78019943-78021397". The record is from RNAcentral. Lineage: Eukaryota; Metazoa; Chordata; Mammalia; Rodentia; Muridae.